GGAAAGAUGGCAGAGUUGGUCGAUUGCACUGGUCUUGAAAACCAGCAUAGUUUGCGCUAUCGAGGGUUCGAAUCCCUCUCUUUCCG
This 86-nucleotide transfer RNA is filed under the name prasinophyte sp. MBIC10622. RNAcentral describes it as "tRNA-Ser". It matches the Rfam family "tRNA". From Rfam's summary of the family: Transfer RNA (tRNA) molecules are approximately 80 nucleotides in length. Their secondary structure includes four short double-helical elements and three loops (D, anti-codon, and T loops). The record is from RNAcentral. Lineage: Eukaryota; Viridiplantae; Chlorophyta.